RNAcentral lists this ribosomal RNA (280 nucleotides) under uncultured bacterium. RNAcentral describes it as "partial 16S ribosomal RNA". It matches the Rfam family "Bacterial small subunit ribosomal RNA", at positions 334 to 631 of the family's 1533-position model. The record is from RNAcentral.
UAUACCUACGGGGCGCAGCAGUGGGGGAUAUUGCACAAUGGGGGGAACCCUGAUGCAGCGACGCCGCGUGGGUGAAGGAGCGUUUCGGCGCGUAAAGCCCUAUCGGCAGGGAAGAAGAUGACGGUACCUGAUUAAGAAGCCCCGGCUAACUACGUGCCAGCAGCCGCGGUAAUACGUAGGGGGCAAGCGUUAUCUGGAUUUACUGGGUGUAAAGGGAGCGCAGACGGCAGUGCAAGUCUGGAGUGAAAGCCCGGGGCCCAACCCCGGAACUGCUCUGGAA